CCUACGGGUGGCAGCAGUGAGGAAUAUUGGUCAAUGGACGAGAGUCUGAACCAGCCAAGUAGCGUGAAGGAUGACUGCACUAUGGGUUGUAAACUUCUUUUAUAUGGGAAUAAAACGUUCCACGUGUGGGAUUUUGUAUGUACCAUAUGAAUAAGGAUCGGCUAACUCCGUGCCAGCAGCCGCGGUAAUACGGAGGAUCCGAGCGUUAUCCGGAUUUAUUGGGUUUAUAGGGAGCGUAGGUGGAUGGUUAAGUCAGUUGUGAAAGUUUGCGGCUCAACCGUAAAAUUGCAGUUGAAACUGGCAGUCUUGAGUACAGUAGAGGUGGGCGGAAUUCGUGGUGUAGCGGUGAAAUGCUUAGAUAUCACGAAGAACUCCGAUUGCGAAGGCAGUUCACUGGACUGCAACUGACACUGAGGCUCGAAAGUGUGGGUAUCAAACAGGAUUAGAUACCCGGGUAGUC
This 460-nucleotide ribosomal RNA is filed under the name uncultured bacterium. RNAcentral's name for it is "partial 16S ribosomal RNA". It matches the Rfam family "Bacterial small subunit ribosomal RNA", at positions 338 to 795 of the family's 1533-position model. The record is from RNAcentral.